UCCAGCACCAGAGUUCAAAGGCCUCCAUUCUUUGGUGCUCAGCCUUCCUUAUGGUCCAACCUUCACAGCCAUACAUACUCUGGAUUACCCCCAAAGAAACUGAAGAACCUUGAUUCUUAGAGUUAUGCUGACAGCAAGAAGGGUAGCGAAUGACGUUAACCAAUAAGUAAAAUAAAAUAAAUUGUAAAAAAUAGUGUGUGCCCACUGCGAAAAUGACGUAGAAGAGGAUGUCACCUCUCUGCUCAUUAAAAGAAGCACAAUAGAGUAAUUUACUCUCCGUAAUAAGCCUGAAGAAAGAUGCAACUAUUUUAAUGAAUCAGUUUAUGAGUGUGCUGUGUUUUAAAGCAAUCCCAAAGUUCUUCUGAUUGGAAUUAGGACUUGAUUUGCCUGCCAGGGUAAAUUAGCUUUGGCUUAAUCAUGGAUUAAUGAAUUAACAAGAUUGGCUGGUUUCACACAGUGUAUUAAGGUCUGAGCCAGUUGUGUAUGUGUGUGUGUGUACUUGCCUUGAUUUUUUUGUAAAAAUAACAAAGGGAUAUAAAUAAGUUAAAUCAAUGGUUUUUACAAACCAUCACGGCUAAAUUUCCCCAAUAUGCUAAGUCAAACCCAAAUAAAGCCCAUUAAGACUA
Long non-coding RNA from Thamnophis elegans (Western terrestrial garter snake), 626 nucleotides. RefSeq lists it as uncharacterized. Lineage: Eukaryota; Metazoa; Chordata; Lepidosauria; Squamata; Natricidae. The record is from RefSeq and is a predicted model, not a curated record. The transcript has 2 exons.